CCUACGGGAGGCAGCAGUGAGGAAUAUUGGUCAAUGGGCGCGAGCCUGAACCAGCCAAGUCGCGUGAGGGAUGACGGCCCUACGGGUUGUAAACUUCUUUUAUAGAGGAAUAAAGUUAGGCACGUGUGCCUUUUUGUGUGUACUUUAUGAAUAAGGAUCGGCUAACUCCGUGCCAGCAGCCGCGGUAAUACGGAGGAUACGCGCGUUAUCCGGAUUUGUUGGGUUUAAGGGGAGCGUAGAUGGGUGGGUAAGUCAGUUGUGAAAGUUUGCGGCUUAACCGUAAAAUUGCAAUUGAUACUGGCAGUCUUGAGUACAGGAGAGGUAGGCGGAAUGCGUGGUGUAGCGGUGAAAUGCUUAGAUAUCACGAAGAACUCCGAUUGCGAAGGCAGCCUACUAAACUGCCACUGACAUUGAGGCUCGAAAGUGUGGGUAUCAAACAGGAUUAGAUACCCGGGUAGUC
This 460-nucleotide ribosomal RNA is filed under the name uncultured bacterium. Its description in RNAcentral is "partial 16S ribosomal RNA". It matches the Rfam family "Bacterial small subunit ribosomal RNA", at positions 338 to 795 of the family's 1533-position model. The record is from RNAcentral.